UCCAUUCACUUUCCAAAGAAGUUCUGC
This 27-nucleotide non-coding RNA is filed under the name Mus musculus (house mouse). Lineage: Eukaryota; Metazoa; Chordata; Mammalia; Rodentia; Muridae. The record is from RNAcentral.